GACGAACGCUGGCGGCGUGCUUAAGACAUGCAAGUCGAACGGACUUGGUCCUUCGGGACCAAGUUAGUGGCGGACGGGUGAGUAACACGUGAGCAACCUGCCCUUCUACCUGGGAUAACACCGCGAAAGCGGUGCUAAUACCGGAUACGCUCCCGAGGUCGCAUGGCCAUGGGAGGAAAGGGGGAGGAGCCUCCAUUGGAGGCUCGCUCCCAUAGAAGGAGGGGCUCGCGGCCCAUUAGCUAGUUGGUGUGGUAAUGGCGCACCAAGGCGACGAUGGGUAGCCGGCCUGAGAGGGUGAACGGCCACACUGGGACUGAGAUACGGCCCAGACUCCUACGGGAGGCAGCAGUCGGGAAUCUUCGGCAAUGGGCGAAAGCCUGACCGAGCAACGCCGCGUGGGUGAGGACGGCCUUCGGGUUGUAAAGCUCUGUCCUCGGGGACGAAAAAAAUGACGGUACCCGAGGAGGAAGCCCCGGCUAACUACGUG
Molecule: ribosomal RNA, 487 nt
Filed under: uncultured bacterium
Lineage: Bacteria
Description: bacterial SSU rRNA
Rfam family: Bacterial small subunit ribosomal RNA
Source: RNAcentral